ACGCCUUCCAUGAAGCUGGAAUUGCUGUAAUGGCAGGUCAGCAUACUGCCGUGAAUACGUUCCCGGGCCCUUGUACACACCGCCCGUCACACCAUGAGAGUUGGAAAUACCCGAAGCCUGUGAGCUAACUGUAAAGAGGCAGCAGUCGAAGGUAGAGCCAAUGAUUGGGGUGAAGUCGUAACAAGGUAUC
RNAcentral lists this ribosomal RNA (190 nucleotides) under uncultured bacterium. RNAcentral's name for it is "partial 16S ribosomal RNA". It matches the Rfam family "Bacterial small subunit ribosomal RNA", at positions 1312 to 1500 of the family's 1533-position model. The record is from RNAcentral.